Molecule: transfer RNA, 72 nt
Filed under: Phrynosoma platyrhinos (Desert horned lizard)
Lineage: Eukaryota; Metazoa; Chordata; Lepidosauria; Squamata; Phrynosomatidae
Description: tRNA-OTHER
Source: RNAcentral
GCCAGUGUGGUGUAGUGGUUUGAAUGUUGGACUACGACUCUGCAGAUCAGGGUUCAAAUCCUGGCUCAGACA